RNAcentral lists this unclassified non-coding RNA (3151 nucleotides) under Megachile rotundata (alfalfa leafcutting bee). RNAcentral's name for it is "ecotropic viral integration site 5 ortholog, transcript variant X2". Lineage: Eukaryota; Metazoa; Arthropoda; Insecta; Hymenoptera; Megachilidae. The record is from RNAcentral.
GUUGGUAACAGUGCGCGUGCUCAAAUCUAUCGUGAUGACAAUUUUAAGUGGUGACAGCCGCGUAUAUGCCUCGUUGCCCUCGUAGCAGCGUUUUAACCGACUUUGCUAACACGAAACAUAAUUUUUUGACUCGGUGCGUGAUUCAUUCCGCGGACAACAUAUGGAAUAUUAAUCUUACCAAAGGGGUCAAGAGAAGCAGGCAGCCGGGCAAUUAGGAUUAUCACGUUAUGGACCGCAGGUGAUGAGCGUGUUGUGUUUAUGCACCACUGUACACCAGACCGCUCAAACCAACAGUCAGGCCAGCAAGAUACUUCCGAGCUCGCCGCCGAUUCAAUCCGAGGAAGAGAGGAUAAACUCGUCGCAGGAAAUACCCACCGACGAGCUGGCUCUAUUAGCUAAGCUGGAGGAAGCCAAUAGGCUUAUUGAAUCGGAUGCAAAGUCGUUGAACUCGCUUCAUAGUAAUCACAGUAGGAAAGGUUCUGACACAUCUCAGGUGUCGGUGGCGUCGGGGGGUAGCGGAGGGAAUGGCGAUGCUGCACCCCGACGCCACAAUUCAGCCGAUGGUGAAGAGAAUACUUGGACCCUGUGGGGUCACAUCGUCGCUGAUUGGGAUUAUCAUUGGAAGAAGAGGAAAGAAUUCGUCAAAGAAUUAGUACGUCAAGGAAUACCUCAUCACUUUAGAGGUAUUGUUUGGCAGCUACUAAGUGGUGCUCACGACUCUCCUGUGAAAAAGCAAUUCGCUGAGUAUAUCAAAGCCACGUCCGCGUGCGAAAGGAUAAUUAGGAGGGACAUAGCCAGAACCUAUCCUGAGCAUGAUUUCUUUAAGGAAAAAGACGGACUUGGCCAGGAGAGUCUGUUUAACGUUAUGAAAGCGUAUAGUCUUCAUGAUCGUGAAGUGGGAUACUGUCAAGGUUCGGGAUUUAUUGUAGGAUUACUCCUUAUGCAGCAAAUGCCGGAGGAGGAAGCUUUCGCUGUACUGGUAGCGCUUAUGCAAGAGUAUCGUUUGCGAGACAUGUUCAAGCCGAGUAUGGCUGAAUUAGGGGUGUGCAUGUAUCAGCUAGAACAUUUAGUUGCUGACACGCAUCCCGAAUUACACGCUCAUUUCACGGCACAAGGUUUUCACACGUCGAUGUACGCAUCGUCUUGGUUUCUUACGCUUUUUACCACGGCGCUCAGCCUGCCGCUGGCCUGCCGCAUUUUUGACGUGUUUCUGUCUGAAGGCAUGGAGAUUAUUUUCAAGGUUGCGUUGGCCAUGUUGCAUUUAGGCAAGGAAGAUUUGUUAAGCUUGGACAUGGAAGGCAUGUUGAAGUUCUUCCAGAAACAACUACCUGGAAGAGCCGAGAAAGACCCUGAUGUCCUCAUGAAUCUUGCUUAUGGUAUGAAAAUAAAUCCGAAAAGAAUGAAGAAGUUGGAGAAAGAUUAUACCGUAUUAAAAAUGAAAGAACAGGAGGAGAUGGUUGAGCUUCGUAGGCUCAGAGCGGAGAAUAGGUUACUUAGGCAAAGAACUGAACUUCUUGAAGCUGAAUCCGCGGAACUGGCGGAUAGAUUGGUCAGGGGUCAAGUUUCUCGCGCAGAAGAGGAGGAAACUGCUUUCGUUGUACAAAGGGAAUUAGCAGCCCUUCGGCAUACGCAUCUCGAGACCAGUCAUCAACUCGAGCAGGCUCAUGAGGAGUUGAGAUCUUUGUCGCUUCUGUUAGAGGAGAACGUGACGUCGAAGCAAUCUUCCUUAGAAGAAAUUCUAUCGAAACAAGAGGCGUUGUCGCAGAAGGAGGAAAUGAUACAGUGCUUGCAAGAGGAAUUGGUAAGGGUUCGGUUGCACGAGGCAGAAAAUGAUGCAACGAUAAGGGAACUCAGAGCGAGAAUACAGGAAUUGGAGCAAGAUAAAAAGACCUUACGUGAAUCGACGCCAGAUAAUUCUGUUGCUCAUUUGCAAGAAGAAUUGAUCGCUGUGAAGCUUAGAGAAGCUGAGGCUAAUCUUUCCUUAAAGGAUCUUCGGCAGAGAGUGAUGGAGUUAAGUUCUGCCUGGCAGAGGCAUUUGCAAGAGCACCGUUCAGCCCAGAAUCAACCUGCUAGCGAUUCUACGCCAAAGAAGCUAUUGUUCUGGGAGAACAGGGGCCAUGAGGUGCAAAAAUUCGAGGAAGACUUAAUGACAACCAGAAUUCGAGAAAUGGAAGCUUUGACGGAAGUAAAAGAGCUUAGAUUGAAAGUUAUGGAACUUGAAACUCAAGUACAGGUAGCCACGAAUCAACUCCGUCGGCAGGACGAAGGAGGGAAAUUGCUUAAAGAUGAAUUAGAAGCUGCUUUAACUAGAGAAAAAGAACUUACUGCCAAAUUAAGGGAGCAACAACACAAGUAUUCUGACCUGGAGUCAAAGAUGAAGGACGAAGCUAUGAUGGCUAGGAUACGCGAUGCGGAACACGCGCAGCAAGUGGCUGAACUCACCCAGAAAAUAUCUCUUCUUGAAUUAAAAAAUGAAGAGAUGCACGCGGAAGGUGAACUUAGAAACAAUUUAGACGACAGUGAGAGAGUAAGAGAAUUGCAAGAUAAAGUUGCAGAAUUAAAAGCUGAGGUCAUGAGAUUAGAAAGUUGGAAACAACAUUGGACAGGUAACGGUGGCCAAAAUGUGAGAAGCUUUAGUGUCGAUACUGAAAGCGAGCUGGACGAACGGGAUCUCCGAAUUUGUUUACAGGAUCAUAUCAAUGCGACUACGCAGAAUUCACCAGAGUUCUUAUUCAUUCGAUUAUUCGUUUGCGCCUCGAAACGAGGGGACCUGGCCUCCUUAUGGCUAUUGAUAGCUCCCAAGCGAAGCGGUACCCCACAGGAAAGGUAUAAUCCCGUGUACAGGCUUAACAAUCCCAGACCGAUAUUCCAAAGGAGCGAGAAGGAUAAAAAGGGAGCAAUAGCGUGAAAGAAAGCGAGACAUCAGCGAACGCAAAGACAAAAGCAGAGAACAGGAACCAUCGGGUGAUUCGGGAAGAGUUUGCGUCCAUGGGCGGCGCAACUUGUGGCAGGGCGUUCCAUAAUUAAUCCAGGGGUACCUAAAAACAUAGUUGCGCGUUUGGUCCUGUUGAAGUGGCGGUGGUGGCAGUGUUGCCAAGCUCGUGAAACCACGGCAAAGUGCUUCGAGUCAGCUCAUGGGGGUUCUCGGGAG